AUGUGCGUCAGCAGCAUAUAUACUAAAACUGCAACAAUACAGAUAAGAUUAGCAUGGCCACUGUGCAAGGAUGACAUGCAAAUUCAUGAAUUGUUCCAUAUAUGU
This is a small nuclear RNA of Nycticebus coucang (slow loris), 105 nucleotides long. The record is from RefSeq and is a predicted model, not a curated record. Lineage: Eukaryota; Metazoa; Chordata; Mammalia; Primates; Lorisidae.